Molecule: ribosomal RNA, 3328 nt
Filed under: Capsicum baccatum
Lineage: Eukaryota; Viridiplantae; Streptophyta; Magnoliopsida; Solanales; Solanaceae
Description: bacterial LSU rRNA
Rfam family: Eukaryotic large subunit ribosomal RNA
Source: RNAcentral
GCAACCCAAGCUUUGGCAGGAUUACGUAUUGAGUAUAUUCAUAUUAAUAAGCAUAGGAAAAGAAACUUUUAAGGAUUCUCUUACUAAUGACGAGCGAAUUAGAAAUAGCCUAGCCUUAGAAUCCGGCGUCUCCAUCAUUCUAAUUAUAGUCUGGAGAAGCAUCCUCAGCGACUGACUGGACGCAAGUCCCCUGGAGGGAGCGACAGAGAGGUUGAGAGCCCCGCUCUUCCCAGACCCUAUUGCACCAUGAGGCGUUGUCUACGAGUCUAGUGGUUUGGGUAUACAACCCAAAUCGGGUGGUGAAUUUCGACCAAGGAUAAAUAUGAGCAAGAGACUAAAGCAAAUAAGUACUGUAAGGGAAAGAUGAAAAUGACUUUGAAAAGAGAGUCAAAUAGUGCUUGAAAUUAUUAAGAGAAAAGUGAAUAGGGGUUUGAGAUGUACCCCAGUUGAAUAUGGAACCACGAUAAGUCGGUCCGCAGAUCGACUUAGGGCAUGGACCAACGUGGAUUGGUGAGGCGACAAAAGCCCGGGCUCUCGAUACACUCAUGGAACCUCCUUAAUUAUGGCAGGUAAUGCUCAUCUUUAUCGUGCGUCGGUAUUUGCAUACUCCAGAUGAUGUCCUGUGGGCUUCUCAUUCGACCCAUCUUGAAACAUGGACCAAGUAUUCUGACAUAUGUGUGAGUCAACAGGCGAGUAAUCCCUUAAGUCUAUGGAAGCUAAUUAGUAGUAUCCCCGUGAGGGGUGAACCACCGACCGACCUCGAUCUUUAGAGAAUGGUUGGAGUGUGAUCAUACCUAUCAGGACCUAAAACAUGAUGAACUGUGCCUGAGCAAGGCAAAGCCAAAGGAAACUUUGGUGGAGGCCUGCAGUGAUACUGGCGUGCAAAUUGUUCGUCUUACUUGGGUAUAGGGGCAAAAUACUAAUUAAACCAUAUAGAAGUAGGUUCCCUCUGAAGUUUCCCCUAGGAUAGCUAGAGCUCAGGUACGAUUUUUAUCGGGUAAAGACAUUGAUUAGAGGCCUCGAAGGCACAAUGCCCUCAACCUGUUUUCAAACAUUAAAUAGGAAUGACUGAGUGGCUGCAUUGAUGAGCCACUCUACUGAAUCAAGAGCUCCAAGUUGGCCAUUUUUGGUAAGCGGAACUGGCGAUGUGGGAUGAACCAAAAUCUGGGUUAUGGUACAAAACUGUGCUUAAUUAGAUCCUAUAAAGGGUGUUGGCCGAUUAAGACAAUAGGAUGGUGGUCAUGGAAGUUAAAAUCCACUAUGAAGUGUGUAAAAAUUCACCUGCCGAAUCAACUAGCCUAAUAAAUAUAUCAUGCCUAAGCACACAAUAUACACCUAGCCAUCGGGGCAAGUACCAGUCCUCGAGGAGUAGAAGGGUGUGGUUGUCGUUCCAAAAACCAUGGGCACGAUCCAGGAUACCAGUGUCCUUUGGUGCAUUUCUUGGUGGUAGUAGGAAAUAUUCAAAUGAGAACUUUGAAGGCCAAAAAGUAAUAAGGUUCUAUGUGAACAGCACUUGCUGAUGGGUUAAUUGAUCCUAAGGGUCGGGGAAACCCCGACAGAUAGAAUAUUUCAUGCGUACUUUGAAAAUGAAUUGGGUUAAAAUUCUUAAACCAGGACAUGGCGGUCGAUAGAAAUGUUAGGAAGUUUAAAGACAUUGGUUAGAGCCUUGAGAAGAGUUAUCUUUUCAAUUUAUCAUCCUGCCCACCCUAGAAUCAGCACAUCUGGAGGUAGGGUCUUGCAGCUGGAAGAGCACCGCACAUUACGUGGUGUUCAAUGUUCUCCCGGAGACCCUGGAAAAUUUGUAGAACAAAAUUCCAUCCACGCCAAUUCGUACUCAUAAUCGCAUCAGGUCUCUAAGGUUAACAACCUCUGGUCAAUAGAAUAAUGUAGGCAAGAGAAGUUGGCCAAAUAGAUACGUAACUUUGGGAAAAUGAUUGGCUCAAAGGGUUGUGCAUAGGGGUUCCCAGUUCCAAACCCAUUGUCUGUUGGUGGACUACUCGAGUUGUUCCCGCAGCAAGAGUGGGUCACCGCAUGCCGGUCAGGGGACGAACUAUUAGCGGUUUCUUAGAAGGCCUUCCCCAUGCGUCGAACAACCAACUCAAAACUGGUACGGACAAGGGGAAUCUGACUGUUUAAUUAAAACAAAGAAUUGUGAUGGUCCCAAUGGAUGUUCACACACAGUGAUUUCUACCCAGUUCUCUGAAUGUCAAAGUGAAGAAAUUAAACCAAGCAUGGGUAAAUAGAGGUAGUAACUAUGACUCUCUUAAGGUAGACAAAUACCUCAUCAUCUAAUCAGUGAUAAGCUUGUAUGGAUUAACGAGAUUCCCACUGUCCCUGUCUACUCUCCCGCGAAAGUACAACCAAGGGAAUAGGAUUGGCAGAAUUAGCGAGGAAACAAGACCCUGUUGAGCUUGACUCUAGUCUGACGUUGUGAAAUGACUUGAGAGGAGUAGUAUAAGUGGGUGAUGAAAGGGAAAAGUAAAAUACCACUACUUAUAACGUUAUUUUACUUAUUCCAUGAAUCAAAAGUGGGGAACUGCCCCUCUUUUCUGACCCAAGGAUUGCUCUGCAUGCUAAUCCGGGUAGAAGACAUUGUCAGGUGGGGAGUUUGGCUGAGGCGGCACAUCUGCUAAAAUAUAAUGCAGGUGUCCUAAGAUGAGCUUAACAAUAACAAAAUAUCAUGUAGAAUAGAAGGUUAAAAGCUCAUUUGAUUCUGAUUUCUAGUACGAAUACGAACUAUGAAAAUAUGGCCAAACGAUUCUUUAGACCUUCAUAAUUCGAAGCUUGAAGUGUUAAAAAUGUUACUAAAGGUAUAACUGGAUUUUUGAAUCAAAGAAUUCACAGCGACAUUACUUUUUGUUCUUUUGAUGUUGGCUCUUCCUUUCAUUGUGGAUCAGAAUUUACCAAGUGUUGGAUUGUUCACCAACCUAUAGGGAAGGUGAUCUGGGUUUAGACCGUCGUGAGAUAGGUUAGUUUUAACCUAUUAAUGAUAGUUUCUCAAUAUUAAUCCAACCUAGUAUGAGAGGAACUAUGGAUUCACAUAAUUGGUCAUCAUGCUUCGUUAAAAUGCUAGUGGUGUGAAGCUACCGUGUGCUGGAUUAUAAAUGAACGCCUCUAAUUCAGAAUCAAGGCAAGAAGCAACACAUGCGCCCUUCUUCUGCUUGACAAAACGCAGCAGAGGCCUCAGACCCUAAUGGUAUGUGUCAUUGGAUAAGUACAAUUUUUAUCGAGCGGUGAGUAGAAUCUUUUGCAGAUGACUUAAAUACCCGACCAGGUGUUAUAAGUAGCGGAGUGGCCUUUCUGUCACAAUCCACAGAGAUUAAGCCCU